CCGGCUCCGCCCGCUGCACGGAGGGGACGAGCCGGGCACGGCCCGCGGGCCUUCCGGAGCGGGCCGGCAGGACCCAGGGCGGGGCUGGUCCGGCUCUCCCCUGGCAGGGCACAGCUGGCGCUUUCCCCUUCCCCGCACACAGGGUGGGACUCAGAGGCCCCUGGGCUGCUGAGCUGGGGCCAGCACCACCUGUGCCCCCCCCGGCUGGCACCAGCACCGGGCACGACCCCCCCAGCAGAGACUUGGUGCCCGCACGUCCCGGGUGCUGCUCCCAGGAGGGCGAGGGGCCGCGGGGUUGCACCCGCCUGCGGGAGCUGUGCCAGCGCUGGCUGGAGCCCCAGCGCCGCAGCAAGGAGCGCAUCCUGGAGCUGGCGGUGCUGGGGCAGUUCCUGGCCGUCCUGCCCCGGGAGAUGCGGAGCUGGGAGCGGGCGUGCAGCGGGAGCCCUGCGCCGAGCCGGUGGUCCUGGCUGAGGGGUUUCGUGCGGGGCGAGCGGAGGAGGAGAAGCUCCAGGCACCGUCCCCAUCUCCAUGUGUCUGGGAACGCUCCCUCCCCCGGCUCUCUCCCAGUCCCUGGUCACUGUAACACAUUUGCCUUGUCCCCAGGUCCCCGUGCGUGUCAAGGUUGAGGAAAUGUCAUGGGACAAGAUGGUACCCACUGUGGCACUGUGGGAACAUCUCAAAUCCUGCCUGGCACGGCCACAGCCCCUUCAUGUGGCCAUGCCCCUGAAGGAUGAAACCACAGAGCCUGACGGCGAGCCCCUUUGGGUCCCCAGGGAGGACCCCCUGCUGCAGCAGGACUCAGGUGCAGGGACCCUGAGCAGAGCUGAGGAAGAGCUUGUAAACUUAGAGCUGCAGAGGACUUCACAGCAGCUGCUGCCUCCCCUGCUUUCUCUGGAUCAAAGGCAUAAGAUGAAGCAUGGCAGGUGUUCCCAGGAAUUCCCAUAUAGGACCGUGGAACAGGACUGCCACGAGCGGUCUCUUGCAUCUGUGCACAGGUCAAAUUCCUGGAUCCCUUGGAGGACCAGGGGGAGAUCCCUUUCAUCCAGGGAUAUAGUGAGAGGGAGCAGUGCACACACGCAUAUAAACCCUGCUGAGAGCAGACGAGCGGCCAGUUAGCACAAAGGACCUGGGACGGUGUGGGGGGAAACGACUCAUCCAAAGGAGCUGGAACCAGGUAGGGUGUUUGCUGACAGACGGUCAGUCCCUGGCAGAACACAGCUCUCCCCAGGGACAGUUCCCCGCCCCUCCUCUUAGCCCGAAUGCAGCUUUCCCAGCCCCUUUCCCCCCCGCCAUGCAUCUUGUGCUCAAGUUAGUCGGGUGAGAAGGUUCACACAGAUUGUAACCCCAUGACACCCACUCCAAAUGCUACCACCACAGCUAAUGAGUGAAUGCUACCACCCAUUCACAGGGGUGUGAAUAGACCACAGCAUCAGGACACAGACAGAAGGAAACAUUUCAUUCAGCAUUACUAGCACAACUAGCAGUACAGAUGGCUGGACCAUCCAAGUGGCAGGGAAUAAAGUCUCUUUGGUUCAUACUCUCUUUCAAACCUCCAGUGUCCCCGGAUGUUGCCAACAGGGCAACUGACCUGGGAGAAACCAGUGUCCCUGCAGGGCAGCCCCAAGCUCACCCGUCUCCUCCAUCCCUGCUGCAGCCUGUUACUCCACGACAACCCGUUUAAGACACCAUUGAGAGAACAUUCCCAUCCCCACUGCUGUGCCUGGAGAAGGGGUUGUGGGGGCAUUUCAGGCCAGGUGCAACCAGACCCCCCCCGCCCCCCCCUUGAGGUCACAGGCCGUGGGGAGAAGCUGGGAGAUGAGAGCUAGCAGGAACGGACCAGUAUC
This is a long non-coding RNA of Alligator mississippiensis (American alligator), 1844 nucleotides long. RefSeq lists it as uncharacterized. NCBI's taxonomy places the organism in Eukaryota, Metazoa, Chordata, Crocodylia, Alligatoridae. The record is from RefSeq and is a predicted model, not a curated record. The transcript is spliced from 3 exons.